ACGUAGGUGGCGAGCGUUGUCCGGAAUUAUUGGGCGUAAAGCGCGCGCAGGUGGGUGUAUAAGUCUUCUUUAAAAGUGCUGGGCUCAACCCAGUGAUGGGGGAGAAACUGUAUACCUUGAGUGCAGGAGGGGCAGGCGGAAUUCCCAGUGUAGCGGUGAAAUGCGUAGAUAUUGGGAGGAACACCUGUGGCGAAGGCGCCUAACUGGAACGAACCUGACGGUGAGUAACGAAAGCCAGGGGCGCGAACCG
This 250-nucleotide ribosomal RNA is filed under the name uncultured prokaryote. RNAcentral's name for it is "partial 16S rRNA". It matches the Rfam family "Bacterial small subunit ribosomal RNA", at positions 525 to 775 of the family's 1533-position model. The record is from RNAcentral.